This 3008-nucleotide ribosomal RNA is filed under the name Tolypocladium cylindrosporum. Its description in RNAcentral is "large subunit ribosomal RNA". It matches the Rfam family "Bacterial large subunit ribosomal RNA". The record is from RNAcentral. Lineage: Eukaryota; Fungi; Ascomycota; Sordariomycetes; Hypocreales; Ophiocordycipitaceae.
AAAAAAAUGAUAUAUAAGUAUUACUUGUAAAUAUAUAAGUAUAUAAAGAAACUAUUAUGGAAUUUAAGCUAUGUAUUAAAGAGAAUUAUUUAUAUAUAUAGAGAUAUAAUAUCCUAUAAUUAUAUGAACUCUAAGAGAAAUCUAAUAUUAAACGAAGUGAAUUGAAAUAUCUUAGUAACUUCAGGAAAAGAAAUCAAAAGAGAUUCUAUGAAUAGCGUGAGCGAAAGUAGAGUAGCCUAUAAAGUAGAACGGUAUCAAAACUGUUUAAAUAUAAUGGGGAACCUUCCUCAAAGGCUAAAUAUAAUACAUAAGCGAUAGUGAAAAGUACCAUGAGGGAACAAAAACAAAAAUAGUAGUUUUAUAAGCAGUUCGAUAAAAAGAACGUACCUUUUGCAUAAUGGGUCACCAAGUUAACGUUAGAUGCGAGUAUACGCGUAGUUAAACCGAACGUUAAAAUAACGAAAUAGUGUCUAAAGUUAGACCCGAAGCACGGUGAUUUUACCAUGGUCAGGAUUAUAAAAGUCCGAACGGGUGAUUGUAGCAAAAAUCUCCGAAGAACUGUGGUAGGUGUAGUGAAAGACAACACUGACUGUGAUAGCUGGUUUUCUGCGAAACCUAUAAUAGUAGGCAAUUUAAGUAAAUAUCUUAGCAGGUACAGAAUUUAAUCUCAGACAAGGCGUGUAAGCGUUUUAUAUUGUAUAAAUUGGGGAAUCAUGAAGAUUUUAUCAGUGAGUAUGUAGACUCGGAAUGGCAAAGAUAUGUCUUAAAUUAUCAGACAUAGAAUGAUAAGGUUGUAUGUCGAAAGGGAAACAGCCCAGAACAAGAGUUAAGGUUCCUAAAUUAUUAGUUAAGUGAAAUUAAGAAGGUUUUUAUUAAAGUCGACAAGGAGAUAGGCUUAGAAGCAGCCAUAAUUUUAUGACCUCGUAACAGAGCGCUUGUUAAGUUAUAAAAGCAUCGAAAAUUUAACGGAUCUAAACAAUAUACCGAAACCUUGUCCAUAAUAUAUUAUAUUAAUUAUUUUUAAUGUAAUUUAAUGGGGUAGCAGAACGUUGAGCUAGAUUAUGAUUUCUAUUUUUUAAAUAGAAUUAUAUUAAUUUAACUCAAGUGAGAAUGGUGACAUGAGUAACGAAAAGAAAAUUUUCCGCCUUAAGCUUAUGGAUAUAAUUAAGUAACGGCCUCUAAGUUUAUAUUAUCUAAAGAUUUAAACGAUGAGUAAAUCUUUUUUACUAAGGACAACAUUUUAGUGUAAAAUGUGCUGGAAAAAUAGUAAAUAUAUUUGUUAUUUAUAACAAAUGAACAAUAACCGUACCUAGAAUCUGAAACAAGUAAGCUAGUAGAGAAUACGAAGGCGUAAAUGAGCUAACAAUCAUAAAGGAACUCGGCAAAUUGACUACCGUAACUUCGGAAUAAGGAGGGCUCAUUAUUCUUGAUUAAUAUCAAGUAAAGAGGAAGAAGCAUGAAAUAAUGUUGUACGACUGUUUAAUUAAAACACAGCACUUUGCUGAAAGAUUAAAAAUCUAUGUAUAAAGUGUGAUAUCUGCCCGGUGCCGGCUGGUUAACAGAGAUAAUUGAAUAUACUACUAUUUGAUGUCGACGGAAACCCCGGUUAAAGGCGGCCUUAACGUGAGGGUCCUAAGGUAGCGAAAUGCCUUGGCCGUUAAAUGCGGUCUUGCAUGAAUGGUGUAACGAUACAACAGCUGUCUCUAUGAUUGACUCAGUGAAAUUGGAAUAGCUGUGCAGAUACAGCUUACCUCUAGUUAGACGAGAAGACCCUAUGCAGCUUUACUGUCACUAAUUAUAGAGUAUGAUAGACAAUUUUCAGAAUAUAAGGUAAUUGACAAUAUGACAAUGAGAAUCCUUUAUUUUUCUUUCAUAUGAAUGAAUUGGUUUAGGAUUAUGAGUAGAUUGUAAUUAAUGUGGCUUAUUACUGAGUCAUUUAAAAACAUUAAUUAUAGUCUUUAAAUUAUUAUAUAGCUCAUUUUAGUAAAUCAGCCUAAUUCAACUUAUUAUUUUAGAAUAGUAAGUACCCUUUGGCAAGGAACUAUCGCUAGGGGACAGUUUAUGUGGGGCACAGACCCUGUAAAGAGUAAACAGGAGUGUCUAAUAAUUAUAAAUUAUUUUGUUUGCUAUUUUGAGUAGUUUAACUAUUUUUAAUCAUAUAUAAUUAUUUAUAUUUGCAUUUAUUGUAAAUAUAUUUAAGUUUAGGUAGGAUUUUUACUAUAUAGAAAUUAGAGAUAAUUGAAAAUAUUAUGAAUUUUUUCUAAUGUUUUUUAGCUAUCAUUUUUGAUAGUUAUGUAUUUAAUAUCUAAAAAGCUCAACGGCUAAAUCUUGCCUUACUGUUUGAUUAUCUACAAAUCUUACAGUUGCGUAAGCAGGGCAUAGGAUCACAAGAUGCAAUAAGGAAAGAUCUUGGAUUAUUGGAAAAGCUACGCUAGGGAUAACAGGCUAAUUUGCGCAAGAGUGUACAAAAUGAGUGCGCGGUUUGGCACCUCGAUGUCGGCUUAACUUAUCCUCAUGGACGCAGGAACUAUGUAGGGUGCGACUGUUCGUCGAUUAAAAAGUUACAUGAGCUGGGUUAAAUACGUCGUGAGACAGUAUGGUUUCUAUCUUCUAGGGGGAAUUAGAAUAAAAUAAGAACGAACUUUUGUACGCAAGGAACAAGAAGAGUUUAGCUCGUAAAAAAGGUUAAAAUAUAGUUACUAACCUAUGGUUUACCUGUUGUUUAUGUGCCCAAAUAUUAAAUAUAUAUGCUAUUGUAUAUAUAUAUAUGUAUUAUUAUACAUAGGGAUGUUUCUCUCACUAAGAUAAAUGUAUAGCAUAAGCACGGCAGGAACGCUAAGUUGGUUAAGGAUAAGUGCUGAAAGCAUAUAGGCACGAAGCUUAUCUUAAGAUAUUUCUUAAAUAUACGUAAUAUACUAUUACGAAAUUUAUAGGCUUUAUCCGUACGAAUCUAGAGAUUUUAAAGAAUAAAGUACUAAUUUAAUAAUUCACUAUUUAUAAAUAUAUCA